RNAcentral lists this ribosomal RNA (2400 nucleotides) under Salmonella enterica. RNAcentral describes it as "partial 23S ribosomal RNA". It matches the Rfam family "Bacterial large subunit ribosomal RNA", at positions 520 to 2802 of the family's 2925-position model. The record is from RNAcentral. Lineage: Bacteria; Pseudomonadati; Pseudomonadota; Gammaproteobacteria; Enterobacterales; Enterobacteriaceae.
AGAACCCCGGCGAGGGGAGUGAAAAAGAACCUGAAACCGUGUACGUACAAGCAGUGGGAGCCCCACCACUAAGCCAGUGGUGAACUCCACAUACGCAUCCUUUGCUGAGGAUACGGUUAACGGAGCGCAAGCGACGUUCAACCGCAAAAGAAGCAGAGGGGGCUUAGUGGUGGGGUGACUGCGUACCUUUUGUAUAAUGGGUCAGCGACUUAUAUUCUGUAGCAAGGUUAACCGAAUAGGGGAGCCGGAGGGAAACCGAGUCUUAAUUGGGCGUUAAGUUGCAGGGUAUAGACCCGAAACCCGGUGAUCUAGCCAUGGGCAGGUUGAAGGUUGGGUAACACUAACUGGAGGACCGAACCGACUAAUGUUGAAAAAUUAGCGGAUGACCUGUGGCUGGGGGUGAAAGGCCAAUCAAACCGGGAGAUAGCUGGUUCUCCCCGAAAGCUAUUUAGGUAGCGCCUCGUGAAUUCAUCUCCGGGGGUAGAGCACUGUUUCGGCUAGGGGGCCAUCCCGGCUUACCAACCCGAUGCAAACUGCGAAUACCGGAGAAUGUUAUCACGGGAGACACACGGCGGGUGCUAACGUCCGUCGUGAAGAGGGAAACAACCCAGACCGCCAGCUAAGGUCCCAAAGUCAUGGUUAAGUGGGAAACGAUGUGGGAAGGCCCAGACAGCCAGGAUGUUGGCUUAGAAGCAGCCAUCAUUUAAAGAAAGCGUAAUAGCUCACUGGUCGAGUCGGCCUGCGCGGAAGAUGUAACGGGGCUAAACCAUGCACCGAAGCUGCGGCAGCGACGCUGAUGCGUUGUUGGGUAGGGGAGCGUUCUGUAAGCCUGCGAAGGUGGCCUGUGAGGGUUGCUGGAGGUAUCAGAAGUGCGAAUGCUGACAUAAGUAACGAUAAAGCGGGUGAAAAGCCCGCUCGCCGGAAGACCAAGGGUUCCUGUCCAACGUUAAUCGGGGCAGGGUGAGUCGACCCCUAAGGCGAGGCCGAAAGGCGUAGUCGAUGGGAAACGGGUUAAUAUUCCCGUACUUGGUGUUACUGCGAAGGGGGGACGGAGAAGGCUAUGUUGGCCGGGCGACGGUUGUCCCGGUUUAAGCGUGUAGGUGUGUGUUCCAGGUAAAUCCGGUUCACUUUAACACUGAGGCGUGAUGACGAGGCACUACGGUGCUGAAGCAACAAAUGCCCUGCUUCCAGGAAAAGCCUCUAAGCAUCAGGUAACAUCAAAUCGUACCCCAAACCGACACAGGUGGUCAGGUAGAGAAUACCAAGGCGCUUGAGAGAACUCGGGUGAAGGAACUAGGCAAAAUGGUGCCGUAACUUCGGGAGAAGGCACGCUGACACGUAGGUGAAGUGAUUUACUCAUGGAGCUGAAGUCAGUCGAAGAUACCAGCUGGCUGCAACUGUUUAUUAAAAACACAGCACUGUGCAAACACGAAAGUGGACGUAUACGGUGUGACGCCUGCCCGGUGCCGGAAGGUUAAUUGAUGGGGUCAGCGCAAGCGAAGCUCCUGAUCGAAGCCCCGGUAAACGGCGGCCGUAACUAUAACGGUCCUAAGGUAGCGAAAUUCCUUGUCGGGUAAGUUCCGACCUGCACGAAUGGCGUAAUGAUGGCCAGGCUGUCUCCACCCGAGACUCAGUGAAAUUGAACUCGCUGUGAAGAUGCAGUGUACCCGCGGCAAGACGGAAAGACCCCGUGAACCUUUACUAUAGCUUGACACUGAACAUUGAGCCUUGAUGUGUAGGAUAGGUGGGAGGCUUUGAAGUGUGGACGCCAGUCUGCAUGGAGCCGACCUUGAAAUACCACCCUUUAAUGUUUGAUGUUCUAACGUGGACCCGUGAUCCGGGUUGCGGACAGUGUCUGGUGGGUAGUUUGACUGGGGCGGUCUCCUCCUAAAGAGUAACGGAGGAGCACGAAGGUUGGCUAAUCCUGGUCGGACAUCAGGAGGUUAGUGCAAUGGCAUAAGCCAGCUUGACUGCGAGCGUGACGGCGCGAGCAGGUGCGAAAGCAGGUCAUAGUGAUCCGGUGGUUCUGAAUGGAAGGGCCAUCGCUCAACGGAUAAAAGGUACUCCGGGGAUAACAGGCUGAUACCGCCCAAGAGUUCAUAUCGACGGCGGUGUUUGGCACCUCGAUGUCGGCUCAUCACAUCCUGGGGCUGAAGUAGGUCCCAAGGGUAUGGCUGUUCGCCAUUUAAAGUGGUACGCGAGCUGGGUUUAGAACGUCGUGAGACAGUUCGGUCCCUAUCUGCCGUGGGCGCUGGAGAACUGAGGGGGGCUGCUCCUAGUACGAGAGGACCGGAGUGGACGCAUCACUGGUGUUCGGGUUGUCAUGCCAAUGGCACUGCCCGGUAGCUAAAUGCGGAAGAGAUAAGUGCUGAAAGCAUCUAAGCACGAAACUUGCCCCGA